Molecule: non-coding RNA, 1943 nt
Organism: Vicugna pacos (alpaca)
Lineage: Eukaryota; Metazoa; Chordata; Mammalia; Artiodactyla; Camelidae
Source: RefSeq, a predicted model, not a curated record
GUAUGUGUGUGUGUAUGUAAAACUGAAUUGCUUUGCUAUACAUCUGAAACUAACAUUGUAAAUCAACUACACUUCAAUAAAAAAUAAUUUUAAAAAAUUGAAAGCCAUACUGAAAGGCAAAAAGCAUUUGAAGAGAGAGCAAACAUCAGAAUCUGGCAUAACAGAGAUGUUGGAGUUCUGAGGCUGAGAAGUUAAAACAACUAUAAUUAAUAUGCUACAACUAUAAUUAAUAUGCUACAGGCUCUAAGAGAUGAUAUAGAUACCUGCAAAAAUGGGCAAUAUAAACAAAGAGAAAUCCUAACAAAAAUGUUAGAGAUUUAAAAACAGGAAAAGAGGUGAAGAAUGCCUUUCAUGGGCUUAUUAGUAGGCUGGACAUAGCUGACAAAACAAUCUCUGACUAGGGUAUAUAUCAACAGAAUCCUCAAAAACUGAAAAGUAAAGAGAACAAAGAAUGAAGGGGGAAAAGUAACGCUAUAUCCAAGUACUAUGGGACAAAUGCAAAAGGUAUACAUCCCUAAAGAAGAAACAGAGAAAGAGAUGAAAUAUUUGAACAAUAACUACAGAUUUUCCUCAAAAUUAAAGUCAGACACCAAACCACAGAUCCAGGAAACUCAGAACAUGAAGCAAGUUAUAUGCCAGAAAUGCUAUAGUUAGGCAUUUUCAAACUAUGGAAAAUAAGGUAAUGAAAAAAAAAAUCUGGACAAAGCAGGAGGUAAACAUUUUACCAACAGACAAAGAUAAGGAUUACCUCUUACUUUUCUUCAGGAACCAGGCAAGCAAGCAAGCAAUAGAGUGAUCUAUUUAAAAUGUUGAGAGAAAAAUAUCACCAACCUAGAUUUCUGUACUCUGCAAAACUAUUCUUUCAAAAGCAAAGGAGUGGGGAAGGUAUAGCUCAGUGGUAGAGUCCAUGUUUAUCAUGCAUGAGACCCUAGGUUCAAUACCCAUUACCUCCAUUAAAAAGAAAGAAAGAAAUAUGUCCUCUACCCUCCAAAAAAUACUUUUUAAAGUGAAGGAGAAAUAAAUACUUUCUCAAACAAAAAUUGAUGGAAUUACCAUCUAAGUUAUACAUCAGUAAAACUUAAAAAUCUUAUGUGGAUUAUAGAUCCACUCCAAAUUUUUUUUUAAUGUGAUGGAAUUUGUUGCCAGUAGGUUCACCAUGCAAGAAAUGUUAAAAGAAGUUCUUUAGAGAAAAGGAAUGAAAUAUAUGUCAAGAACUCAAAUCUACAUAAAGUAAGGAAGAACAGUGAAGAAGGAGUAAGUGAAGAGUUGGAGAUUGCAAUACCCUGAAUCAGAAAUGGAUAGAUCCAACAGGCUGAAAAUCAGGAAGGAUACAGUUAAACAUCAUCAUCAAUCAGCCGGGUAUAAUGGACAUCUAUAUUGGCUUCACAAGUAAAUUCUACCAAUUAGAGACAAGUUAACACCUAUCCUUCUGAAACUAUUUCAAACAACUGCAGAGAAAGGAACACUUCUGAACUCAUCCUCUGAGGCCAUCGUCACCCCAAUACCAAAAUGAAAGAUAUCACAAAGGAAAUUACAGGCCAGUAUCGCUGAUGAACACAGAAGCAAAAACCCUCAACAAUAUACUAGUAAACUGACUCCAACAAUACACUAAAAGGAUCAUAUACCAUGAUCAAGUGGGAUUUAUUUCAAAGAUACACCACAUUAAUAAAUUGAAUAAAAGCCAUCUGAUCAUCUCAAAAGAUGCAGAAAAAGCUUUUGAUAAACUUCAACAUCCAUUUAUGAUUUAAACUCUCCAGAAAGUGGGCAUAGGGGGAACAUACCUCAACAUAAUAAAGCUCAGAUUUGACAAACCUCCAGCUAACAUCAUACCCAACAAUGAAAAGCAGAAAGCAUUCCCUCUAAGAUCAAGAAUAAGACAAGGAUGCCCACUCUGACCACUUUUAUUCAAUAUUGUUUAGAAAGUCCUAGCCACAGCAAUCAGG